AAAAAUUUAUUUAUUAUUUUUUUUUGUAGUAGUUUUAUUUUAUUAAAAUCAAUUUUAUAGUGUUUAAGUUUUUGUAUAGGGUAUAAAUAUAAUUUUGUUAAUAAUAGUUGAUUAGUAUUGUGGGAGGAUAUUGAAAUAACAUGAAAAAUUUUUUAUUAAAAAGUAUAAUUUAUUAUUUGUACCUUGUGUAUCAGGGUUUAUUAAUUAAAAAUUAUUUAUAAAUAAUUUUCUCGAUUUUAAUAGAGCUAAUAAAUUAUGUUAGUUAUUGUAUCAUAAAUAUUAAUAAUAAUUUAUUAGUAAUGAAAUGUUAUUCGUUUUUAAAUAUAUCUAGUUUUUUAAGAAAUGAAUUUAAUUCAGAUAUUAAUUUUAAUUAAUUUAUUUUUGUUUAUUAAUUAUUUUAAAUUAAUAUUAAUAUUUUAAGGGAUUAGCUUUAAAAUAUAAACUAUAAAUUUAAUUUUUAUUUAAAAGAUUAUAGGCUUAGAAAUAGUCAUUAGUUAAAUAAUGUUAUAAUUUAUUUUUUUUGUUUGAUAAUUUUUUUUUAUUUUUAGGAUUUUAUUAAAAUAUUUUUUUUAAUAGAAAAAAAAUUGAAAUAAUGAUAAAAUUAGUAUAAAAUAUUGUUUUAAUUAUUUAUUAUUUUAUAGAUUAAAAUAAGGAAUUCGGCAAAAUUAAUACUCGCCUGUUUAACAAAAACAUGUCUUUUUGAUAAUAAUUUAAAGUCUAAUCUGCCCACUGAAUUAUUUUAAAGGGCCGCGGUAUUUUGACCGUGCAAAGGUAGCAUAAUCAUUAGUCUUUUAAUUGAGGGCUGGAAUGAAUGAUUGAACGAAGUAUUAACUGUCUCAUUUUAAUUAUUAUUAGAAUUUAAUUUUUGAGUUAAAAAGCUUAAAUUUUAUUAAAGGACGAGAAGACCCUAUAGAGCUUUAUAUUAAUAUUAAUAAUUUUUUUUUAGUUUUAUUUUAGUUUUAUUAAUAAAAAUAUUUUAUUGGGGUGAUAGGAAGAUUUAAUUAACUCUUUUUUUUUUUUACAUUAAUUAGUGAAUUUUUGAUCCUAUAUUAUAGAUUAUAAGACUAAGUUACCUUAGGGAUAACAGCGUAAUUUUUUUUGAGAGUUCAUAUCGACAAAAAGGAUUGCGACCUCGAUGUUGGAUUAAGAGAUAAAUUUGGGUGUAGAAGUUCAAAAUUUUAGGUCUGUUCGACCUUUAAAUUCUUACAUGAUCUGAGUUCAGACCGGCGUAAGCCAGGUCGGUUUCUAUCCUUAAUUAAAUAAAAUAUUUUAGUACGAAAGGACCAAAUAUUUAAAAUAAUUUUUAAGAAUUGAUUAUUAUUAAU
This 1325-nucleotide ribosomal RNA is filed under the name Xyela sp. ZJUH_2016036. RNAcentral describes it as "16S ribosomal RNA". The stretch from base 1080 to 1240 matches the Rfam family "Archaeal large subunit ribosomal RNA", at positions 2542 to 2701 of the family's 2987-position model. The record is from RNAcentral. Lineage: Eukaryota; Metazoa; Arthropoda; Insecta; Hymenoptera; Xyelidae.